AGGUGCUGCAUGGCUGUCGUCAGCUCGUGUCGUGAGAUGUUGGGUUAAGUCCCGCAACGAGCGCAACCCUUGUCAUUAGUCGCUACGAAAGGGCACUCUAAUGAGACUGCCGGUGACAAACCGGAGGAAGGUGGGGAUGACGUCAAGUCCUCAUGGCCCUUAUAGGUGGGGCUACACACGUCAUACAAUGGCUGGUACAAAGGGUUGCCAACCCGCGAGGGGGAGCCAAUCCCAUAAAGCCAGUCGUAGUCCGGAUCGCAGUCUGCAACUCGACUGCGUGAAGUCGGAAUCGCUAGUAAUCGUGGAUCAGCAUGUCACGGUGAAUACGUUCCCGGGUCUU
This 340-nucleotide ribosomal RNA is filed under the name uncultured Hydrogenophaga sp. Its description in RNAcentral is "bacterial SSU rRNA". It matches the Rfam family "Bacterial small subunit ribosomal RNA", at positions 1036 to 1382 of the family's 1533-position model. The record is from RNAcentral. Lineage: Bacteria; Pseudomonadati; Pseudomonadota; Betaproteobacteria; Burkholderiales; Comamonadaceae.